Molecule: ribosomal RNA, 292 nt
Filed under: uncultured bacterium
Lineage: Bacteria
Description: partial 16S ribosomal RNA
Rfam family: Bacterial small subunit ribosomal RNA
Source: RNAcentral
GUGUCAGCCGCCGCGGUAAUACGUAGGGGGCGAGCGUUGUCCGGAUUUACUGGGCGUAAAGCGCGUGUAGGCGGCCCGUUAAGUGGGGUGUGAAAGCCCGGGGCUCAACCCCGGGACGCCGCUUCAAACUGGCGGGCUUGAGGACGGAAGAGGGGAGUGGAAUUCCUGGUGUAGCGGUGAAAUGCGUAGAGAUCAGGAGGAACACCCGUGGCGAAGGCGGCUCCCUGGUCCGUCCCUGACGCUGAGACGCGAAAGCGCGGGGAGCGAACGGGAUUAGAAACCCUAGUAGUCC